Molecule: ribosomal RNA, 253 nt
Filed under: uncultured bacterium
Lineage: Bacteria
Description: partial 16S ribosomal RNA
Rfam family: Bacterial small subunit ribosomal RNA
Source: RNAcentral
UACAGAGGGUGCAAGCGUUAAUCGGAAUUACUGGGCGUAAAGCGCGCGUAGGCGGUUUGUUAAGUUGGAUGUGAAAGCCCCGGGCUCAACCUGGGAACUGCAUUCAAAACUGACAAGCUAGAGUAUGGUAGAGGGUGGUGGAAUUUCCUGUGUAGCGGUGAAAUGCGUAGAUAUAGGAAGGAACACCAGUGGCGAAGGCGACCACCUGGACUGAUACUGACACUGAGGUGCGAAAGCGUGGGGAGCAAACAGG